GUGUUUGCUUUGGCAGCACACAGGCUAACACUGAGCAAUGCAGAGAAGAUUAGCAUGGGCCCUGUGCAAGGAUGACACGCAAAUUUGUGAAACAUUCCAUAUAGUU
This is a small nuclear RNA of Bubalus bubalis (water buffalo), 106 nucleotides long. Lineage: Eukaryota; Metazoa; Chordata; Mammalia; Artiodactyla; Bovidae. The record is from RefSeq and is a predicted model, not a curated record.